GGAGAGAUGGUCGAGUGGUUGAUGGCUCCGGUCUUGAAAACCGGCGUAGUUUCUAAGACUACCGAGGGUUCGAAUCCCUCUCUCUCCU
This 88-nucleotide transfer RNA is filed under the name Chaetosphaeridium globosum. RNAcentral's name for it is "tRNA-Ser". It matches the Rfam family "tRNA". From Rfam's summary of the family: Transfer RNA (tRNA) molecules are approximately 80 nucleotides in length. Their secondary structure includes four short double-helical elements and three loops (D, anti-codon, and T loops). Lineage: Eukaryota; Viridiplantae; Streptophyta; Coleochaetophyceae; Coleochaetales; Chaetosphaeridiaceae. The record is from RNAcentral.